Molecule: non-coding RNA, 355 nt
Organism: Capsicum annuum
Lineage: Eukaryota; Viridiplantae; Streptophyta; Magnoliopsida; Solanales; Solanaceae
Source: Rfam
AAGUCGGCAGAAUAGAUUUGUAACUUCGGAAAAAGGAUUGGCUCUGAGGGCUGGGCAUGGGGGUCAUAGUCUCGAACCCGUUGGUUGUUGAUGGAUUGCUCGAGUUUCUCCCACAGCGAGAGUGGGUCACCGUGUGCUGGUCGAGGGAAGGACAGGGAACGGUUCCUUUGGGGGCCUUCCCCGCGCGUCGAAAAAACAACUUAGAAUUGGUAUGGACAAGGAGAAUCCGACUGUUUAAUUAAAAUAAAGCAUUGUAAUGGUCUCAAUGGAUGUUCACGCAAUGUGAUUUCUUUCAGUUGUUAUUGUAUACUUCUCAUUCUAUAUUUUUGUAUAAAAGAAUUUGUGAUUAUUUAGG